RNAcentral lists this ribosomal RNA (170 nucleotides) under uncultured bacterium. Its description in RNAcentral is "partial 16S ribosomal RNA". It matches the Rfam family "Bacterial small subunit ribosomal RNA", at positions 338 to 520 of the family's 1533-position model. The record is from RNAcentral.
CCUAGGGGAGGCAGCAGUAGGGAAUAUUGGGCAAUGGGCGCAAGCCUGACCCAGCGACGCCGCGUGAGGGAUGAAGGUCGUCGGAUUGUAAACCUCUUUCAGUAGGGAAGAAGCGAAAGUGACGGUACCUAAAGAAGAAGCACCGGCUAACUAUGUGCCAGCAGCCGCGG